Ixodes scapularis (black-legged tick) is the source of this 73-nucleotide non-coding RNA. NCBI's taxonomy places the organism in Eukaryota, Metazoa, Arthropoda, Arachnida, Ixodida, Ixodidae. The record is from Rfam.
UCCUGGUUAGCUCAGCUGGUAGAGCAUUCCACCGGAAAUGGAGAGGUCCCUGGUUCGACACCAGGACCAGGCG